Molecule: long non-coding RNA, 116 nt
Filed under: Bos indicus x Bos taurus (hybrid cattle)
Lineage: Eukaryota; Metazoa; Chordata; Mammalia; Artiodactyla; Bovidae
Description: lncRNA (ENSBIXG00000029446.1)
Source: RNAcentral
AGUGGGCCAAUUCUGUGUGUCACAGAAUUGCAGCGAUUCUGGUGCAGAAAGCUCUGGUGACCCUGAUGUGCUGCCUGAAUAUUUUGAUCUCUUCUAAAUCUAUGCAGUUUUUGUGC